Sapajus apella (tufted capuchin) is the source of this 298-nucleotide long non-coding RNA. RefSeq lists it as uncharacterized. The record is from RefSeq and is a predicted model, not a curated record. NCBI's taxonomy places the organism in Eukaryota, Metazoa, Chordata, Mammalia, Primates, Cebidae. The transcript has 3 exons.
CACCAAGGAUGGAGACAUCUCGGACAUCUUGGACAUCUCCUUCCCUAGCUGGCUAAACAGCAGGUGCUUUCCCAGCGCUGGUGCUGGGCACAGCCAAGGUGCCCUCCAGCAGCCCUUAUGUGGGCGUGACAGAGGACUUAGAGCAUCUUGCCUUAGGAUCACUUUGCUCACAUUGUUACCUCAGUUCCAUGCUUCAUAACCCAAUAAUCAUUAGUAAACUCAAAAGGUUACAUUGAGUAUAUAUAUUAUAUGUGAAUACCCAUGGGAUUAUAAAUGGCCAUAUAUAUAUGUAUAAAAC